Molecule: ribosomal RNA, 407 nt
Filed under: uncultured bacterium
Lineage: Bacteria
Description: partial 16S ribosomal RNA
Rfam family: Bacterial small subunit ribosomal RNA
Source: RNAcentral
AUUGAACGCUGUCGGCAGGCCUAACACAUGCAAGUCGAGCGGAGCGGCGGACGGGUGAGGAAUGCCUAGGAAUAUGCCUGGUAGUGGGGGAUACCGUUCGGAAACGGGCGCUAAUACCGCAUCCUAUCAGCUGAGCCUAGGUCGGAUUAGCUAGUUGUUGGGGUAAAGGCCUACCAAGGCGACGAUCCGUAACUGGUCUGAGAGGAUGAUCAGUCACCUGGGAACUGAGACACGGUCCAGACUCCUACGGGAGGCAGCAGUGGGGAAUAUUGGGCAAUGGGCGAAAGCCUGAUCCAGCCAUGCCGCGUGGGUGAAGAAGGUCUUCGGAUUGUAAAGCACUGUAAGUUGGGAGGCGUUACCAACAGAAUAAGCACCGGCUAACUUCGUGCCAGCAGCCGCGGUAAUAC